Carassius auratus (goldfish) is the source of this 394-nucleotide long non-coding RNA. RefSeq lists it as uncharacterized. The record is from RefSeq and is a predicted model, not a curated record. The transcript is spliced from 3 exons. Lineage: Eukaryota; Metazoa; Chordata; Actinopteri; Cypriniformes; Cyprinidae.
CAUGAAAUGAAAAUGAGGUUUGGAACAGACUUGGCGAAGAACAUGGAAACAUCUCUGAAUGAAAUGGCCCCAAACAUCAUCAGGAGUGCAAAAGAAGGAAGUCAAAAAAAAAAAAAAAAAACUACGCCAAUCUCAUUGGACUAGCAGAGGAAACCACAGAAGGUCUCGUUAGUAAUGCUGCACUCAUUUUAUUGCCAGCACUAUUUAGAGAAAACGCCAGCUUCCUCUACUGUGUAGAUAGUGAACCCAAAGGUGCUACACCAACCAUAGUGUUUAACGGCUCUCCUGAUCCCCUCAAGGCUGAAAGUGUCAGCAUUAUAAUGGACAAUGUGAACAUCAUAAGAGAGGCAGACAUUGACAUGACACAGGCUGUGGAAUGCCUAUUUGCAGUCUA